GUGCGUGGUGGGGGAGACCAUCCCUGCCGCCUGCAGCGUUGACUCCCGGCACCAUUUGGGUGCAGGGACCCAGCUGACACUUCUUACUUCGGGUCCUGCCUCUCCAGGAGCAGUCUGCAACUUGCCAGCGUCCAGGCAGGACGGCAGCGGCUGAGCAGAGGAGAGAGGAGGAGUGAGUCUCCCGUUCUCACCCGGGGAGCGGUUGCCUCGUGAGUCCGAAGAGAAUCAGCUCUUUCGUUUUGCGCAGGUGGAGAUCUCGGGGGCCCAGUUUGGAGUCCUGCAAACCGUGAGUGU
Molecule: long non-coding RNA, 294 nt
Filed under: Macaca fascicularis (crab-eating macaque)
Lineage: Eukaryota; Metazoa; Chordata; Mammalia; Primates; Cercopithecidae
Description: lncRNA (ENSMFAG00000054889.1)
Source: RNAcentral